GGGCUGAAGGUUUAUUUAUAGUGUAGCAUAAGAUUUUUAGGAUCGCUAGGUAUAUCCUUUUUCUUUUUGCAUCGACUAAUAUAAUCGUAAGUCAGUUGUAGUUAGUUAAGAUAUGAAAAUUAAAAAUAUUGCAAGGAAUUUGUUAAAUACCUAAAUCGGAAUAUCAGGGAUAUAAUAAUAAAGUAGUUAACAGAUUUAAGUUGUAAAUCUAAGAAGAUAUAUACGAAUAAAUAUUGAAAAAUUUGUGUAGAUUUGAUCUAAUCUUUAAUCCUAAUGGUUAGAAUAUUCCGGUUAUCUAAUUUACAAAAUAGGUAAUUUAUAUGUGCAUUAUAUCCUGUAUUUUUAUUUAAUAGUUUAUAUGAUUCAAGAACAACUAUAGUUAUAAUCGACAUUAUUGAUGUAUUGAGGUUGCAUGAAUAUUGAAGUAAAGUAAAAUUAAAUUUAUUUGAAUAUGAAAUUCUUCAAUCAUAUUGAUAUAUAACUGCAUGGAAUGGUUUAUUGUACAGAAUUCAGCA
Molecule: long non-coding RNA, 515 nt
Filed under: Brassica napus (rape)
Lineage: Eukaryota; Viridiplantae; Streptophyta; Magnoliopsida; Brassicales; Brassicaceae
Description: long non-coding RNA (BNAP_LNC021929)
Source: RNAcentral